Oreochromis niloticus (Nile tilapia) is the source of this 288-nucleotide long non-coding RNA. RefSeq lists it as uncharacterized. The transcript is spliced from 2 exons. The record is from RefSeq and is a predicted model, not a curated record. NCBI's taxonomy places the organism in Eukaryota, Metazoa, Chordata, Actinopteri, Cichliformes, Cichlidae.
GUGUAACAGAAGUGAAGCUACAAACCAAAGAGGAGACACAGAGAUUCAGGGAGGAGCUGAGCUGUUACUGAAGAACAGACGAGAGAGAGAAACCUCCACAUUCAACAGAGUUCAACACACAGAAGAUUCACUUUAUUCAACAUGUUGAUGUUGGACUGUUAUGAAACUUCUCUGUUAAUGAUCAUGAUUCUAACAGGUGUCAGCUGUCAACAACUCACUGCAAACAAAACUGAAGAGUCCAGUUUGGAAGGCAGCACAGUUACUCUGUCCUACAGAUACUCCAGACAA